This 460-nucleotide ribosomal RNA is filed under the name uncultured bacterium. RNAcentral's name for it is "partial 16S ribosomal RNA". It matches the Rfam family "Bacterial small subunit ribosomal RNA", at positions 338 to 795 of the family's 1533-position model. The record is from RNAcentral.
CCUACGGGUGGCAGCAGUGAGGAAUAUUGGUCAAUGGACGAGAGUCUGAACCAGCCAAGUAGCGUGAAGGAUGACUGCCCUAUGGGCUGUAAACUUCUUUUAUAUGGGAAUAAAACAGGGUAUGCAUAUCUUCUUGUAUGUACCAUAUGAAUACGGAUCGGCUAACUCCGUGCCAGCAGCCGCGGUAAUACGGAGGAUCCGAGCGUUAUCCGGAUUUAUUGGGUUUAAAGGGAGCGUAGGUGGAUUGUUAAGUCAGUUGUGAAAGUUUGCGGCUCAACCGUAAAAUUGCAGUUGAAACUGGCAGUCUUGAGUACAGUAGAGGUGAGCGGAAUUCGUGGUGUAGCGGUGAAAUGCUUAGAGAUCACGAAGAACUCCAGUGGCGAAGGCGGCUCACUGGACUGCAACUGACACUGAUGCUCGAAAGUGUGGGUAUCAAACAGGAUUAGAUACCCUUGUAGUC